UAGGGAAUCUUCCGCAAUGGACGCAAGUCUGACGGAGCAACGCCGCGUGAGUGAAGAAGGUUUUCGGAUCGUAAAGCUCUGUUGUUAAGGAAGAACGAGUGUGAGAAUGGAAAGUUCAUACUGUGACGGUACUUAACCAGAAAGGGACGGCUAACUACGUGCCAGCAGCCGCGGUAAUACGUAGGUCCCGAGCGUUGUCCGGAUUUAUUGGGCGUAAAGCGAGCGCAGGCGGUUAGAUAAGUCUGAAGUUAAAGGCAGUGGCUCAACCAUUGUAGGCUUUGGAAACUGUUUAACUUGAGUGCAGAAGGGGAGAGUGGAAUUCCAUGUGUAACGGUGAAAUGCGUAGAUAUAUGGAGGAACACCGGUGGCGAAAGCGGCUCUCUGGUCUGUAACUGACGCUGAGGCUCGAAAGCGUGGGGAGCGAACAGG
RNAcentral lists this ribosomal RNA (429 nucleotides) under Bacteroidota bacterium. RNAcentral describes it as "Bacteroidetes bacterium partial 16S ribosomal RNA". It matches the Rfam family "Bacterial small subunit ribosomal RNA", at positions 355 to 776 of the family's 1533-position model. Lineage: Bacteria; Pseudomonadati; Bacteroidota. The record is from RNAcentral.